AUGGUAUUUGGUUUCAGUGGAAUAUUGCUCAUCUGUUACCCUCCACAGAACUCCCGAGAAGAACAGAAAUCUGUCUGCCUCUGCUUUCCAAGGACGCUGACCACAAAUAAGGCUUUCAUGAUAGAAAAUGAAUCCAUAGGAAACAUCCUACAAGAAAUAUUUAUCCAGCAAAUGGCAUGUGGAAGCUGUUUCCCUGUGUUCCUAAGUCCCAGGCUGCGAGCACCACUCGCCUCCCUCGCGGUGUCUGGAGAGCGGGAUGUCUUCCAGGUUCGUCUCCUCACUGCUGGCGCCCCGUCCUGGGUGUGGGGCUCCUGCCACGGACGACUCCUCCGGGUGCAGCCACAGUGCGGAUGCUCUGCAUCUUUGCCGCGUCCAUCGCCUCUGCACUUGGCUGCCUGGACUAUUUUGGCUCCACCCAGCAGCCUUAGUGGAGAGAAAACAACGCCCCACCGUAAGCACCGUCAGCUUCUCUCCUCUUUGUUCCGUUUUCUGGCCAGUUUCUUCAACAACCCGCAGCCCCCUUGUUUCCUGUGGUCUGCUGCACUUGUUUAACAAUCGGUGUGCCAAGUAUAGCCCGGUUUCAUUACAGCUGUGCUCCACGUGGUUGUAAGCAGAGCGCACACAUACACUUUUGUAUUCUGAUUUUGUUUUCAUUUAAUUUAUAUCAAGAAUUACAUUGCCUUACUCCUACAUAGUUUCUAAUAAACAUCACUGUGUUGGCUUCAUAAUUAUAUCAAGGGGAAAUAUUAUUAUCUACUUCUAAAGGCUGCAAAAAAAAAAAUCUGAAUUAAAGAUUUGGUGAGUGAAGUUUAUCUCUUCAUUUGGAUUAUUUCCAUGGGCUAGAUUGCCAGAGUUGGGACUUCUGGGACAUAAGAAACAACACUUGGCUGGGCGCAGUGGCUCAUGCUUGUAAUCCCAGCACUUUGGGAGGCCAAGGUGGGCGGGUCACGAGGUCAGGAGUUUAAGACCAGCCUGGUCAACAUGGUGAAACUCCGUCUCUACUAAAAAUACAAAAAAUUAGCUGGGCGCCGUGGCAGGUGCCUGUAAUCCCAGCUACGCAGGAGGCUGAGGCAGGAUAAUCGCUUGAACCCGGAAUGUGGAGGUUUCAGUGAGCUGAGAUCAGGCCACUGCACUCCAGCCUGGGCAACAGAGUGCGACUGCGUCUUAAAAAAAAAAAACAAAAAACAAACAAACAAAACUUUGUGGCUUGUUAAGAUUAUUCAGUGUGUCGUCAUGAUUUUACAUGCUUGCUUUUCACUUUUAUUGUUUUCCUUCACAGACUGGACUCCCUACUUCCAGGCCCAAAGCUCCCAGGCCCAAAGUUCCCAUGCCUGAGCUCCUCAGCACUUGGAGAAGAGGUGGCAGCUGGGCAAACUGUCUCCAGACCACCAUUGUAGGGAGAAGGGACCCGAUGCCAUGACACUGGCGGAGUGGAGAAAACAUUCCCACCACUGAGGAGUUUGCUACGAGGGUUAUCAUGAUAAUGAUAUGACUAGCUACCGUUUACUGAGUUCCUUUAUGUUAGGCAUUGUAUUAUACCAUUUCCCCCUACAACCUGCUGGGUAAGUAGUGUGAUCGCCAUUUUCUAAAGGAAAAAACAGAGGCUCAGAGAGGUAACUAGCUUUCAGCUGCAAGUUACAAAACACCCCCUGCAAGUGGCUGAAACAGUGAGAUUGUCUUAUUCUCUCCUAUGACCAACCUGGCCAACAUGGCGAAACCCUGUCUCUAGUGAAAAUACAAAAAAUCAACUGGCCAUGGUGGCGUACACCUGUAAUCCCAGCUACUCAAGAGACUUAGGCAGGAGAAUCACUUGAACCCAGGAGGCAGAGGUUGGCAGUGAGCCAAGAUUGUGCCACUGCACUCCAGCCUGGGCAACAAAAGCAAAACUCAAAAAAAAAAAAAGAAAAAAAAGGCAGAAAGAAAGGGAAAGGUGUAAGGGUUUUUGUCUGCUUGUGUGCAUGUGUGUGCAUUUAUUUAAUAAAAAAAGGAAAUGUUUUCCUAAAGCCUACCAGCCAGUUUCUCCAUACAUCUUACUGACCAGGAGAAUAAAAUUACUUGGCUUGGCCAGGCUGGGUCUGUCUUCUCUGAGCACAUCGCCCCCACCCCUUCUGCCCCCACUGCAUGGUAUCUGAAUAAAAUUAUGCUACUUGUACCAAGAAGAAAGUGGGAAAGGUGUUGGGUAAGGGAAAACGUCUGUUACACUUCCUUCCCAGACAUUCCAUGGCAGAAGAUUCUCUUUUCAGAAGACAAUGCUGUCUUCCAAGAUCUUCGUUUCAGUAUGUGUUAACAGUAUGUGUGUGCGUCUGUGCACAUGCACACGCGUGUGGUUGUGUCUUGGGUGCUCAUAGUUUUAUUACUGGUGUAGCAUAUUCAAGUUAGAAAUUAGGCAAUCAGAAGGAAUGCGGCAGUAGUCAUUCUCGGCUGCUAUCUCGCACAUGGGACAGGGCAAGACAGUGUGAGGCUCCACAUACAUUAGGAAGAACGCAGGUUGAAGAUUUAGAUCUGGAUUCUAGCCCCCAGCUCUGCUACUUUCCAUCUGUGUUGCCUGGGUUAAGUUAUUUAAUCUUUUUGUUAUUAUUAAUUAGAUAUAGGGUCUGGCUCUGUUGCCCAGGCUGGAGUACAGUGAUGCGAUCAUAGCUCACUGCAGGCUCAAAUUCCUGGGCUCUAAGAGUCCUCCUGCCUCAGCCUCCCAAGUAGCUAGGGCUAAGGUUACAGGCACAUGCCACCACACCUGGCUAAUUUUUAAAUUUUUUUUUUAGAGAUGGGGGCUCUAUUUUGCUCAGACUGGUCUUGAACUCCUGGCUUCAAGCAAUCCUCCUGCCUUGGCGUCCCAGGGUGCUGGGAUUACAGACAUGAGCCACGGUGCCUGGCCAUUACUUAAUCUUUCUAAGCCUCAAUUUUCUAAUCUGUAAAGCAAGAAGUUUACACUAGGUAAUGUCUAAAGUUUUAAUAUUCUGUAAUGUAAUUUUUUUUUUUGAGAUGGAGUCUCACUCUGUCACCCAGGCUGGAGUGCAGUGGCACAGUCUUGGCUCACUGCAGCCUCUGCUUCCCAAGCUUAGCCUCCUGCUUCCCAAGCUCAGCCUCCUGCCUCCCAAGCUCAGCCUCCUGCCUUAGUCUCCCAGGUAGCUGGGACUACAGGCAUGUGCCAACACGCCCAGCUAAUUUUUGUAUUUUUAGUAGAGAUGGUGUUUCACCACAUUGGUCAGGUCGGUCUCGAACUCCUGGCCUCAAGUGAUCUGCCUGCCUCGGCCUCUCAAAGGGUUGGGAUUAUAGGCAUGAGCGCCCAGCCAGUCUACCACAUUAUUAAACCCAAAAAAAAAACCCUGCUCAAAUGCAUCUGCAUGCCAUAUGAAUGAGGGAGGUCAACAUUUUUUCUUGUAUAAGAAGAAUAAAAUAUAACAGAAUUAGAUAUAGCAUGUAAUGUAAGCAGAUUAUGGGCUCUUUUGAAAUGUCUUUAUUUUCAUUACAAACUGUGCUUUGAAUGAUUAUGUGUUAAGUGACUGUGUUUUACAUUUACAGCACAGCUCAUCUUUCAGAAUUUUCCUGCUAUUUCUGUUUUCUAUUUUAUUGGCAAUGCGUUUCUUUAUAACUGAGUGAAGAAUGUGGCAAGGCUGGGGAAAAUGUUUGUGCCUGUCUCUUUUUGCUCUCUCUCCCCCUCUGAACAGAAAUAGUAUCAUGGCAGUGCAUCUCUUUGUCUCUUAGGAAAAUAAAAAGCCAGGAAAAGGAAAUAACAUUGGGUGAUCUACUUUUGGAACAGCGUGAGAAAGAUCCAGAGAAUGUUAGUUUUGCAUUGAAGCCGCUUCAACUUCUACUUUUUCAAUAUUACAGGAAGUUUCCUAGCAUUGAGAGGAAAGAGAAACAGUGACCAGAGACUUUCUCCUAAUAUGCAGGAAGGACAGUGUGGAGGCCAAGACUAAUGUGGGUGAUGAGCUCCAGGCCUGCCUCAGAACAGGAGCUGAUGGGAGUGAGUCUCUGAUCUUCCAAGGUUGUUUCAAUAUCCAAAGUAGGUCCUCCAUGGCAGCUGCUAUUCAAUCAGCCACAUUUCCUGAACUGGAUAUUUUUAGUUGGCAGGAAAAAGGAAAACAAACCAAAAAAACCUAACUUGAUUAGGAAGGACGUUGGAAGGUCACUUCAUAGUUAGAAACUAAGAUUAGUGCUUGCGACUUGGCUGUAUUUCCCAGAUGACUUACUAUUUAACCUGUGCAUCAAUGGGCAAAGUGUUUAUUUUGCAUGGAGGGGAAGGGAGAAACUUCAUCAGCACAGGAUCCAGGCCCUACAGCCACGACCAGCUGAGGAUUCUCCCUUAAACCCUCAAGAAGUAUUCUGAUUUGCUCACUCAUGAGACUGGAGCUGUGCCUUGAAGUAGAGCGUGCACAGUAGUUCAUUCCCACGGCCAUAUUCCUGCUGGAUGAUAGAGCUUGGCCUGCACUAAAGGUCUAUCAUUAUUGCCCCCAAUAUGCUAGGGCCUAUCCUUCCUAAGAUAUGGCUGUGUCCACGGUCCUCCCCAGAAAGGGCUCUUAUAAGGCUCCCAAGGGAGCGAAAUUCAGACUCUGACCCAGAGACUCUCUUCACCU
Molecule: long non-coding RNA, 4574 nt
Organism: Cercocebus atys (sooty mangabey)
Lineage: Eukaryota; Metazoa; Chordata; Mammalia; Primates; Cercopithecidae
Source: Ensembl